UCUCUCUUUCUCUAAGCUCAAAUUUUUAGGGUUUCCUUUGUUUGGGUUUAAAUUUGCUUCCAUUUACUUUGAUUUCAGUUGCAUGUGUAAACUUUUGUAUUGAAUUUUGAGUCCAUGUGAAUAAUGUAUGUUGAAAUUGGGACUUUUGUGUGUCGUAGAGGGAUUAUCAUAUUGAAGUUGGAAAGGGAUUCAUUUUGAGUCCAUGUGAUUAAUGUAUGUUGAAAUUGGGACUUUUGUGUGUCGUAGAGGGAUUAUCAUAUUGAAGUUGGAAAGGGAUUGGCAAAGAAUUGAGAACCAAGAAUUCUACACUCCAAAUUAAAAAUGGCCUAUUCAGUUUAUGAUGAACCAAGAAUUCUACACUUCCGAUUUGUUUUAACAACAUGGCAUUUUACAGUUGAUUAUGCUCAUUGCAGGUGUAAUGAACAUGACUAUGUAUAGUCUGAUAAUUGAGAGGCUUAGACCCCUUGUGGGUUUGAAAGGCUGGGAUUUUUGUGUUCUCUGGAAGUUGAGUGAAGACCAAAGAUUAGUGGGAACUGUAUAAUUAACUUUUACUACAAUUAUUAAUCUCUCCAUCUUCUCUUUCUGUGAAAUUUUAGAUGGUUGGUUUUAGAUUCAUUGAGUGGAUUGGUUGCUGUUGUUAUGGGAUUGGUGAGGACACCCAUAAUGGUGGACAAGAACUUCUGUUUCCAGUUUAUCAAGUCUUUCAGUGCAGGGAUGCAAUGCAGCUCUCAAGAACUAAUUCUUUUGAUAUCCUUGGUCAUCUUCCUUCCUCAAUGCCCUUAGACUCUGGGAUUUAUGCAAAAACAUUAAUGUCAAACCAGUCCUGUUGGUUGAACUGUUCCUCUAGUAACAGAGAUUCAAGUGCUAUGCUAGUCUCCGAGGACCAGCAUGUCAUUGAUUUCAUCACAGCACAAUGCAACAUUUGGUGCGAGCAAGACACCCUGGUGCAAGCAACACAUGUAGUACAAACACCCCUGUACUUUCCCCAUCAAUGGCAUCAUUGGAUCCUCAUGAUGCGAAUUUGCCAUACAAUAUCACAGUAGGUAAUCUAGUAAGCCUCUUGGCAAGGGUACAAAGAUAUGGGAGUCUCAAGUUGGAGGAUCAUUCACAGUGACCAGGGACUCCAGUGAGCCUCUUGGCAGGGGUACAAAAAACUGUCUUCACCUGACCUCAAGGAGACUAGCUCAAGUACCUUCAAGAGCGCAGGCUCAAGGAUUUAAUCAAGAAGCACUUUGAGUUGAUCAGCUACUCAACUUCCAGCAUUUUGUUAUGUCUUAUUGUUUUCUUCGGUGCUAUUGCAUCGCCCCAUGUGCUCUUUAGUUUUAUUUAAUAAAGAUUGUUGUUAUUUCA
Rosa rugosa (rugosa rose) is the source of this 1350-nucleotide RNA transcript. It is a transcript of the gene named transcription factor ABORTED MICROSPORES-like, with no coding region annotated. The record is from RefSeq and is a predicted model, not a curated record. Lineage: Eukaryota; Viridiplantae; Streptophyta; Magnoliopsida; Rosales; Rosaceae. The transcript is spliced from 4 exons.